ACGGUCCUAAGGUAGCGAAAUUCCUUGUCGGGUAAGUUCCGACCUGCACGAAUGGCGUAACGACUUCCCCACUGUCUCGACCAGGAGCUCGGCGAAAUUGCAGUACGAGUAAAGAUGCUCGUUAAGCGCAGAAGGACGAAAAGACCCCGGGACCUUUACUAUACCUUGGUAUUGGCAUUAGGCGCGGAUUGUGUAGCAUAGGCGGGAGGCCGAGAGGCGCGGUCGCCAGAUCGCGCGGAGCCGUAAGGUGAAAUACCGCUCUGUUCUCGUUUGAUGUCUAACCUCGAACAGUCAUCCUGUUCAGGGACAGUGCCUGGCGGGUAGUUCAACUGGGGCGGUUGCCUCCCAAAGAGUAACGGAGGCGCUCAAAGGUCCGCUCGGCCCGGUUGGCAAUCGGGUGUCGAGUGUAAUCGCACAAGCGGGCUUGACUGCGAGAUCGACGGAUCGAGCAGGGACGAAAGUCGGAGAUAGUGAUCCGGUGCCGGCGCACGGGCGCGGCAUCGCUCAACGGAUAAAAGGUACCCCGGGGAUAACAGGCUGAUCAUUCCCAAGAGUCCAUAUCGACGGGAUGGUUUGGCACCUCGAUGUCGGCUCGUCGCAUCCUGGGGCUGGAGCAGGUCCCAAGGGUUCGGCUGUUCGCCGAUCAAAGCGGCACGCGAGCUGGGUUCAGAACGUCGUGAGACAGUUUGGUCUCUAUCCUCUGCGCUCGUUGGAAUCUUGAGGAGGCCUGCCCAUAGUACGAGAGGACCUGGGUGGACGAACCUCUGGUAUGCCGGUCGUCACGCCAGUGGCGCGGCCGGUUGGCUACGUUCGGAAGGGAUAACCGCUGAAAGCAUCUAAGCGGGAAGCCUUCUCCAAGAUAAGGAUUCCAUGCGGCCCCGAGCCGCUGAAGACCCCAUGCAGAACACGUGGUCGAUAGGCCGGACGUGGAAGCCCCGCGAGGGGUGGAGCCGACCGGUACUAACGGACGAAAGGCAACACUAA
RNAcentral lists this ribosomal RNA (984 nucleotides) under human gut metagenome. RNAcentral describes it as "bacterial LSU rRNA". It matches the Rfam family "Bacterial large subunit ribosomal RNA", at positions 1945 to 2925 of the family's 2925-position model. The record is from RNAcentral.